UACGUAGGGUGCGAGCGUUAAUCGGAAUUACUGGGCGUAAAGCGUGCGCAGGUGGUUGCGUAAGUCAGAUGUGAAAUCCCCGGGCUUAACCUGGGAAUGGCAUUUGAGACUGCGCAGCUAGAGUACGGCAGAGGGAGGUGGAAUUCCACGUGUAGCAGUGAAAUGCGUAGAUAUGUGGAGGAACACCGAUGGCGAAGGCAGCCUCCUGGGCCAGUACUGACGCUCAUGCACGAAAGCGUGGGGAGCAAACAGG
Molecule: ribosomal RNA, 253 nt
Filed under: uncultured bacterium
Lineage: Bacteria
Description: partial 16S ribosomal RNA
Rfam family: Bacterial small subunit ribosomal RNA
Source: RNAcentral